AGGUGAUAUCUUUACAACGUUGUGGGCGUUAAAGAUUGUUAUGUAAAGCAAAACAGAGAACUUGCUUAAGAUUCUCUGAAUUUUUAGGUUUCCCUAAAAAACCCACUGUUGGUUUAUUUAAUUUUCAUUUAAGUCUGAAAAAGUCUUGUUUGUGCUAUCAGAAAAUGCAGUCGUCAAUAGAGGAUGUCCAAGCUAAUAUCAAAUAGG
Schizosaccharomyces pombe (fission yeast) is the source of this 207-nucleotide non-coding RNA. Lineage: Eukaryota; Fungi; Ascomycota; Schizosaccharomycetes; Schizosaccharomycetales; Schizosaccharomycetaceae. The record is from the annotation of a GenBank genome assembly.